CGCGGGUUGGCCAAGUGGUAAGGCGCCAGGCCCAUAACCUGGAGAUCGGGGGUUCGAAUCCCCCACCCGCCUCCA
This 75-nucleotide transfer RNA is filed under the name Deltaproteobacteria bacterium. Its description in RNAcentral is "tRNA-Met". It matches the Rfam family "tRNA". From Rfam's summary of the family: Transfer RNA (tRNA) molecules are approximately 80 nucleotides in length. Lineage: Bacteria; Pseudomonadati; Myxococcota; Myxococcia. The record is from RNAcentral.